GAUGAACGCUGGCGGCGUGCUUAACACAUGCAAGUCGAGCGAAGCACUUUAAAGUUUUCGGACAGAGAGGUGACUGAGCGGCGGACGGGUGAGUAACGCGUGGGUAACCUGCCUCACACAGGGGGAUAACAGUCAGAAAUGACUGCUAAUACCGCAUAAGCGCACAGUACCGCAUGGUACGGUGUGAAAAACUCCGGUGGUGUGAGAUGGACCCGCGUCUGAUUAGGUAGUUGGUGGGGCAAAAGGCCUACCAAGCCGACGAUCCAUAGCCGACCUGAGAGGGUGCCGGCACAUUGGGACUGAGACACGGGCCCAAAUCCUACGGGAGGCAGCAGUGGGGAAUAUGCACAAUGGGCGAAGCCUGAUGCAGCGACGCCGCGUGAGCGAAGAAGUAUUUCGGG
Molecule: ribosomal RNA, 401 nt
Filed under: uncultured bacterium
Lineage: Bacteria
Description: bacterial SSU rRNA
Rfam family: Bacterial small subunit ribosomal RNA
Source: RNAcentral